GGAAAACGCGGGAACGCCGCAUCCGGAGCGGAUUAAACGAAAGUCGAAUAAGGCCUCAAAUCAGGUAAAAGAGGCAUUCCAGGGCGUCAGGUGGAGACCGCCGCGCCCACCAGUUGCCUUUUGAUCUCNNNNNNNNCCCGAUAGAUCGCCGCAUGGGCACCGCCCGGCUCACUGUCUACCACUGGUGUGCCGGCAUCCGACGACGUCCGGAUGGUCAUGUGCAGAGGGAUUUCACCAAG
This 239-nucleotide unclassified non-coding RNA is filed under the name Hevea brasiliensis (rubber tree). Lineage: Eukaryota; Viridiplantae; Streptophyta; Magnoliopsida; Malpighiales; Euphorbiaceae. The record is from RNAcentral.